UACCAGCACCCCGAGUGGUCGGGACGUUUAUUGGGCCUAAAGCAUCCGUAGCCGGUUCUACAAGUCUUCCGUUAAAUCCAACUGCUUAACAGGUGGGAUGCGGAAGAUACUAUAGAGCUAGGAGGCGGGAGAGGCAAGCGGUACUCGAUGGGUAGGGGUAAAAUCCGUUGAUCCAUUGAAGACCACCAGUGGCGAAGGCGGCUUGCCAGAACGCGCUCGACGGUGAGGGAUGAAAGCUGGGGGAGCAAACCGG
This 253-nucleotide ribosomal RNA is filed under the name uncultured bacterium. RNAcentral's name for it is "partial 16S ribosomal RNA". It matches the Rfam family "Archaeal small subunit ribosomal RNA", at positions 474 to 727 of the family's 1478-position model. The record is from RNAcentral.